AGGGGGAACAACCACAGUGGCAGCGGCCAGCUCUGGAGUCCUGGAUUCAGCUGCCGUAGUAGCUAUGGAGCUCUCAGUCUGCAGGGGCCUGGAUGCUCCGGGGGCGG
RNAcentral lists this microRNA precursor (107 nucleotides) under Canis lupus familiaris (dog). RNAcentral's name for it is "mir-8834 microRNA precursor family". It matches the Rfam family "mir-8834 microRNA precursor family". The record is from Rfam by way of RNAcentral. RNAcentral also lists the same sequence under 1 other name. Lineage: Eukaryota; Metazoa; Chordata; Mammalia; Carnivora; Canidae.